GACGGACGCUGGCGGCGUGCUUAACACAUGCAAGUCGAACGGUAAGGCCCUUCGGGGUACACGAGUGGCGAACGGGUGAGUAACACGUGGGUGAUCUGCCCUGCACUUCGGGAUAAGCCUGGGAAACUGGGUCUAAUACCGGAUAGGACCACUGCCUGCAUGGGGGGUGGGGGAAAGCUUUUGCGGUGUGGGAUGGGCCCGCGGCCUAUCAGCUUGUUGGUGGGGUGAUGGCCUACCAAGGCGACGACGGGUAGCCGGCCUGAGAGGGUGACCGGCCACACUGGGACUGAGAUACGGCCCAGACUCCUACGGGAGGCAGCAGUGGGGAAUAUUGCACAAUGGGCGCAAGCCUGAUGCAGCGACGCCGCGUGAGGGAUGACGGCCUUCGGGUUGUAAACCUCUUUCAGCACCGACGAAGCGCAAGUGACGGUAGGUGCAGAAGAAGGACCGGCCAACUACGUGCCAGCCGCCGCGGUAA
RNAcentral lists this ribosomal RNA (478 nucleotides) under uncultured bacterium. Its description in RNAcentral is "partial 16S ribosomal RNA". It matches the Rfam family "Bacterial small subunit ribosomal RNA", at positions 28 to 523 of the family's 1533-position model. The record is from RNAcentral.